CUUUGAUUCGAUCGAAAAAGGCCAUGAGUUAGAAGAUUUCCGUCACAUUGAGUAACAUUUACAGUGCCACGAAUACCAAGUAGUGAAGAAAGGAAUGUAUUCGGACUAAGAAAAAUAAACAGAAGCGCACACGCUCCAAGUUCGAUCGUCACGCUCAAAGGAAUAUUUUGCUUGCGUUCUGUGGCAUUUUUUGCUUAUUUACUGUGGCUUCAUGUCCUGUUGGCACUAAGGAUAUUCCUGCUAAUACCAUGAGUACAACCCCUAGUCCUCAGCAGAAAGUACAACGAUACCUGGACGAAGUGGUAGCCUUGUCAAAUUUUAAUGUCGGAAUAAUUGUUAUGAAAAACAUGUCGAAGCCUCUGCCGCACUUUCCGGUUGACGUUAGGCCAUCUGAUAUUGUUAUCAGGAAACCACAAGGGGAAAACUUAACUUUACAAUGCCAUUCUAAUGGAUCUAGUCAGCUGCCGCCGCACCCUCUUAUUCGCUUCAACGGCAAGCUGUUAAAUUUCGCGCAUCCCAUCUUGAGCAACUGGCGGGAAAAAAAUUAUCGCUGCUGCAGCCCGGAAUCACGCUAUAAAAAAACCCCCGGCAGACAGUAUGCGAGUCAUCAUGCCCGAGAAUUAUAAUGCAACUGGGUACUACCAAAUUAUGUUGACGGAUUUUUCGCAUGCCCACGCGGGUACAUACGAAUGCCUGGGCGUCAAUGGCAGUGAGAGUUAUGUUAACCAGCGCUUUGUAAUCAGUCCGCGUUUGUUUCCCAAUCAGGUACUCGAUCCACCGAUGGCCAAUGUUACCCCCAAAGUUUGGGAAGAAGCUAGCCUCGUAUGUUCAGUAAGAUUCAGUAGCAGUCCGCUGCAGUACCGGGCAUAUGGCAGGCGGUUUAUUUGGCGCAAAGAUCAGCAUUUGCUAUUUGCCGCUGUUAUACCAUCGUUUAAGGCUGAGGCCGGUGGCUCUGUCAACAGCGGAACUUCUGCGGAUUGCCAUUGUGAUUCCGAGUUGGUACUUGACAAGGUCACCAAAGGCGAUGCUGGACGGUACCAAUGCUUUUUUAA
Molecule: long non-coding RNA, 1052 nt
Organism: Paramacrobiotus metropolitanus
Lineage: Eukaryota; Metazoa; Tardigrada; Eutardigrada; Parachela; Macrobiotidae
Exons: 3
Source: RefSeq, a predicted model, not a curated record